This 44-nucleotide ribosomal RNA is filed under the name Fagus grandifolia subsp. mexicana. RNAcentral describes it as "partial 25S ribosomal RNA". The record is from RNAcentral. RNAcentral also lists the same sequence under 2 other names. Lineage: Eukaryota; Viridiplantae; Streptophyta; Magnoliopsida; Fagales; Fagaceae.
GCUCCCGACGCGACCCCAGGUCAGGCGGGACUACCCGCUGAGUU